GAACGCGAAGAACCUUACCCGGGCUUGAACUAAGAGUGACUUAUCUAGAGAUAGAUAUUUCUUCGGACACUCUUGGAGGUGCUGCAUGGUUGUCGUCAGCUCGUGCCGUGAGGUGUCGGCUUAAGUGCCAUAACGAGCGCAACCCUUUUCCUUGGUUGCCAUCAGGUAAUGCUGGGCACUCCAGGGAUACUGCCAUCGUAAGAUGUGAGGAAGGUGGGGAUGACGUCAAAUCAGCACGGCCCUUACGUCCGGGGCUACACACGUGUUACAAUGGGGGGUACAGAAGGUCGCUACCUGGUGACAGGAUGCUAAUCUCAAAAACCUCUCUCAGUUCGGAUUGGAGUCUGCAACCCGACUCCAUGAAGCUGGAUUCGCUAGUAAUCGCGCAUCAGCCAUGGCGCGGUGAAUACGUUCCCGGGUCUUGUACACACC
Molecule: ribosomal RNA, 432 nt
Filed under: uncultured bacterium
Lineage: Bacteria
Description: bacterial SSU rRNA
Rfam family: Bacterial small subunit ribosomal RNA
Source: RNAcentral